Selaginella moellendorffii is the source of this 466-nucleotide long non-coding RNA. RefSeq lists it as uncharacterized. The record is from RefSeq and is a predicted model, not a curated record. The transcript is spliced from 2 exons. Lineage: Eukaryota; Viridiplantae; Streptophyta; Lycopodiopsida; Selaginellales; Selaginellaceae.
CGAGGUGCACGCAAGGAUGUAAGAUGAUAAGGUCCCACGAGGUGCACGCAAAGUUCUCGAAUUUGCUAUAGAAAGCAGUGGAAAACGUUUUCUAGAACCCUACAAUUGAGAAGAGCUAACAGGAUAGUCAAGAAGCGGCAUGAAGGAUCUUUUACUGUUGUAUGGGAUCGCCAAUGCGCUGAGGUACCCGGAGAUGCUGUUUCGUACAGGUUUUACUACAAUCCGGAAUGGAAGGCCACAUUUUUCUCAGAUGCAGGUUGUGAAGGCAAAAGUGAAGAGGUUCUUGCCUCAAGCAAAAUGUGUGUUCAGGGUCUCGAAGGCAUUGGCAGCGUCUUGAUAUCGGAUGAGUCAUUUUCAACAUCUUGAUAUCUCGGAUGAUCUCUUGCCAGUUUCACUGACUCCUGGCAUAAAUAUAUAGCUUGCAAUGUCAUGAAUAAUAUCAUUUGGUGAUGAGUUGUGACAGCAA